GCUCUGGUGGCCUAGUGGUUAGAGCAUCAGCCUUGGAUGCAAGAGUUGUUGGUUCAAUCCCCAGCCAAGUCA
Potamilus streckersoni is the source of this 72-nucleotide non-coding RNA. The record is from the annotation of a GenBank genome assembly. Lineage: Eukaryota; Metazoa; Mollusca; Bivalvia; Unionida; Unionidae.